GACAGAAGGUGCAAGCGUUACUCGGAAUCACUGGGCGUAAAGCGUCUGUAGGUGUUUUCCCACGUCUGGAUUUAAAUUGCGGGGCUCAACCCCGCACCCGAUCUGGAAACGAGGAGAAUUGAGUCAUUCAGAGGCAUCUGGAAUGUCGUGUGUAGGGGUAAAAUCCGUAGAUACACGAUGGAACGCCAAAAGCGAAGGCAGGAUGCUAGGAAUGCACUGACACUCAGAGACGAAAGCGUGGGGAGCAAAGGGG
RNAcentral lists this ribosomal RNA (253 nucleotides) under uncultured bacterium. Its description in RNAcentral is "partial 16S ribosomal RNA". It matches the Rfam family "Bacterial small subunit ribosomal RNA", at positions 524 to 776 of the family's 1533-position model. The record is from RNAcentral.